Molecule: ribosomal RNA, 377 nt
Filed under: uncultured bacterium
Lineage: Bacteria
Description: bacterial SSU rRNA
Rfam family: Bacterial small subunit ribosomal RNA
Source: RNAcentral
AUACGUAGGUGGCAAGCGUUGUCCGGAUUUAUUGGGCGUAAAGCGAGCGCAGGCGGUUUCUUAAGUCUGAUGUGAAAGCCCCCGGCUCAACCGGGGAGGGUCAUUGGAAACUGGGAGACUUGAGUGCAGAUGAGGAGAGUGGAAUUCCAUGUGUAGCGGUGAAAUGCGUAGAUAUAUGGAGGAACACCAGUGGCGAAGGCGUCUCUCUGGUCUGUAACUGACGCUGAGGCUCGAAAGCGUGGGGAGCAAACAGGAUUAGAUACCCUGGUAGUCCACGCCGUAAACGAUGAGUGAUAAGUGUUGGAGGGUGACAGACCUUCAGUGCUGAAGCUAACGCAUUAAGCAAUCCGCCUGGGGAGUACGACCGCAAGGUUGAA